CUGGCUGCACUGCAACUUCUCCAAGGCUUUUAGUGCUGUUGGUGCUGAGAAAGGGUGGCUGCGAAGACAAAUGAAAGGCAAAUACUGGUGGGAGAAGAGCAGGAGCUUUUCUUUCAUGCAUAUGAGCGAAAGCAGAUGAAUCCCAUCUCCUGCACAGCUGCAGCCUCCUCCCAGCCUCACCAGCCCUGCUAAGGAGUGGAGAUGUGCUUCCAAGAUUAGCUGUCUGGCGAGUGUUGCACAAAGAUAAAGUCAUUUAUCCUGCGGCCUCACUUGGUCACGGAGAGGAUCAGGGAGGCUAUUCAUAUGCUUUGUACCCCAGCUGGAUUUACCCUGCAGCAGUCACUGAGCUGGGGUGGGUUUUAGCUUGCCUGCACUCAGGCCAAGGGGUGUCUGCUGGUCCCCGUGCUGAAGGAGAAGCUCAAACCGGGGCUGCAGACAGAGCUGGAGCUGGUAUCUAUGCUGCAAAAUCAUCUCCCGGCAGUGGGAGCAGGCAGGAGGAGAGCUGGUAGGAUGCAAACCUGCAUCCCUGUGCUCAGUGAACCUUAGCAUGUAGGUGUCCCAGAAGCACGCUCACUGUCCUUGUUGUCUGUAGGGUGGUCCUGCUUUCAGCACCUCCCGCCCGGCCUGCGCUGAGCUGUCGCGCUGGAACGGCCGCCUGGCGUGAAGGGGAGCGCGGCCACCCCCGGGGGGUCCUGCCAACGCCCCCGCUCCCACCGCUUCGGCUCAGAUGACAGCGAGCCGACAGCGUGGCACGCUCUCGCUGCAAGAGGACCUGUGGAGGGGGACAGGCAGCUGGGGAAAGCCCAGAGCUCCCAUAGUCCUGUUAUCCUGACCUUACUGCCCUCCACCAUUGCCUUUUUUCUACAGGAGCUGAAGCUCUUUUCUGAUAGCGCAAAUGAAAUAACUGAAGCUUGAUUGUGUCAGAUGGAGAGCAUCACUGGUUUAGGUGUCUUCUCUCAGAUCCCAGUCCCAAAAACUAGGAACUGCCUGCUCCCUUUCAUCUUGUUAUAGAAGACUACACUAGCAGUUCUUCUGCCAAGACAUUAGGUCAGCUACUCUCAUGGAUGUUGGGCACAACAGAUUCAGCAGUGUUAUUUCCUUCUCUCGUAUGAUGGCAUCUGUUAUUAAAGUUCACAUCAACCCGUAGAGUCUUUCAGUAGAAGCGACAGGGGCACGGAACCUCUUCGCCCCCGGCUCUGCUUUUCACACCCGAACAGGACAAUCUUGUUCCAGUCUCUGUAAGGCAGAGCAGUACGCCGCCACCUUCCCACGCCGGUUGCUAAAAGCCACUCCGUGCGACAAGGCUCUUCAACUUCCUUCGCUCAGGGCCUGCGGAGGAAUGGAGAGGCAGAAGCAUUUCUCCUUGCAGAGCAGUACGUUAUGCAAAUAGCCUGGGACUCAUCACGGAGUAUUCCCGAAUGGGAAUAAGCCCCUUGAUGCUGCUUCUGUGUUUUAGCUUCUACCUAGACUUCGUAACUCUAGCUGGUCCAAGCUCACUUCCCAGCAGGUUCAGAGCAUGGCCACUGGCACUGUGAACCCAAAAGGCAGUGAACAGGCAAAGCAGGUUCAGGCUUCUGUCGGGUGCCUUGUACCUGCGCCCUGCCCUGGCAGAUGGUCCCGUCGCAGGCUGUCCGCCCUAAAGAGGAGUAUUUGGGCAAGGACCAGGCACACAGACCGAAGCCAGGACUCCACAGGCAAGCGGGGCAGUCACCAACAGAGCUUCCUCCAGCUGACUUCUCUGAAGAGUUGCGUGCCUUCCCCAACCUCUCGUGUGUGUUCUCGGCGGCCCGCAAGGCACCAAGGAGCAGUCUGCCCCAUACCCAUGCCACCCCAGGAAUGCCCAGCGGGACAGACUGACUCUUUGCCAGCUGCAAUGCAAGAGCAAAAAGAGGGUCGCACCCUUUUCCAUUAACACUGUGUUUGAGCGUGUCCUGCUUGUAUGUGCUACCAACCGCCCAGCCUAGACACAAUUUGGCUGACUUGGUCUGAAGAUACGGCCACACUAAGCAAUCCAACCAGCUAUGGCAUAGGAAAGUUCAUGCUUACAAAA
This is a long non-coding RNA of Tyto alba (common barn owl), 2050 nucleotides long. RefSeq lists it as uncharacterized. The transcript has 2 exons. The record is from RefSeq and is a predicted model, not a curated record. Lineage: Eukaryota; Metazoa; Chordata; Aves; Strigiformes; Tytonidae.